UGGGGAAUAUUGGACAAUGGGCGAAAGCCUGAUCCAGCCAUGCCGCGUGAGUGACGAAGGCCUUAGGGUUGUAAAACUCUUUCGUCGGGGACGAUAAUGACGGUACCCGAAGAAGAAGCUCCGGCUAACUUCGUGCCAGCAGCCGCGGUAAUACGAAGGGAGCUAGCGUUGUUCGGAAUCACUGGGCGUAAAGCGCACGUAGGCGGAUAGUUAAGUCAGGGGUGAAAUCCUGGGGCUCAACCCCAGAACUGCCUUUGAUACUGGCUGUCUCGAGGUCGAGAGAGGUUGGUGGAAUUCCUAGUGUAGAGGUGAAAUUCGUAGAUAUUAGGAAGAACACCAGUGGCGAAGGCGGCCAACUGGCUCGAUACUGACGCUGAGGUGCGAAAGCGUGGGGAGCAAACGGGAUUAGAUACCCCAGUAGUCCCUGAGCGGGCUGGCAAGGCGCAU
This 447-nucleotide ribosomal RNA is filed under the name uncultured bacterium. Its description in RNAcentral is "bacterial SSU rRNA". It matches the Rfam family "Bacterial small subunit ribosomal RNA", at positions 355 to 825 of the family's 1533-position model. The record is from RNAcentral.